Daucus carota subsp. sativus is the source of this 681-nucleotide long non-coding RNA. RefSeq lists it as uncharacterized. The transcript is spliced from 2 exons. The record is from RefSeq and is a predicted model, not a curated record. NCBI's taxonomy places the organism in Eukaryota, Viridiplantae, Streptophyta, Magnoliopsida, Apiales, Apiaceae.
AAAAAUCUUCAACUCAAAAACACAACAACUUUUAUAUCCCUUAUAUUUCUCAGAAUUUCUCUUACAAUAUCUCUCUCGCUCUCUGUCUCAGAACCUCUCAGACAAAAACACAUUCUCCAUCCCGCCUAUGGCACCCGCAGACGUCACCCCCCAUCGUCCUCCGCCUCCUCUUCCAAUCUGAACUCUUCUCUCUCCCUAUGCUCCUCCUAUGCCCUUAAAACUCACCAAAACGAAAUCGUCAUCCCCAAAAUCGACCGUCCCGUUUUUAAUGAAUCCUCCACGGCUGCGAUUUUAGUUUCUAGAAGUAGGGUUUGAGAUGGGUAUAGCCGUAGAUUGUUUUCAGUAAGCAAUUUAUAGGCUGCAACCUGUUCGAUGUUUUGUCUCAGAGAAUCAGGGGUUUAAAUUGGGGCGUUUUCAGAAUUAGGGUUUUAUUCCGCUUUUAUCUGGGGCUGCUUAAUUCACUUGACUUUAUAAUUAACACUGCAUCCGGAGAUAUUCCUUUCGAUCAGUGCUUAUCUCUUCUCAAGACAGGGGGUGUGCUUUCCUUAGUGGGUUUCCCAAGUGACUAAGUUGUCUAAAGCUAAUAAUAAAGCAAAGGAGGAAACUGUGUUAUUACUGUGAAUUAUUUACGGAUUAUGACAACUUCCCCUCCCCAGUAUAUGGAUAUAUGGCUUAUUUGAA